This is a long non-coding RNA of Myotis lucifugus (little brown bat), 1072 nucleotides long. RefSeq lists it as uncharacterized. The record is from RefSeq and is a predicted model, not a curated record. The transcript is spliced from 4 exons. Lineage: Eukaryota; Metazoa; Chordata; Mammalia; Chiroptera; Vespertilionidae.
CCCCGCCCCGCCCCGCCCCGCAACUCCGGCCCUCCGCGGGCUGCUGCCUCCCGCGCCUGCGCAGACGCCAGGCCGCGUGGCCGCUGGGAUACCAGCGGUUCAAGUUUGAACCGGAUCGCUGCGUGUUUUGCCACCGUAAGUCUAGCGAAGAGAUUUUUUUUUUUUGGUGCGCAGAGAGUGUAUGGUUUCCAUUCGGUUUUCGGGAUGCGGUAUCAUAAAACCUUUUCUUCCGUUGGAGAAAUGUGAAGGUCCCGCAGGAGGCAGCGGGACGGCUGAGAAAAGCAGCUCUAGACCCGGCGCCCCGCAGCCGCCGGCACCCGCCACGGCUCAACCGCGCCCCCCCUCCCUCCUGUUGCUGCCGACACGGCCGCACUGGGCCCAGCCCACUGCGCGAGAAUGCAAUAAAACUUCCUAAACUCUCACGAGGCCUCGGCCUGGCUCCUUGCCGGCAGGGACCCCACAGUUUGGUGCUGGAACCCAGGAUGCACAGGAGCCCGUAGGGACCCCCACCCCCGGCUGCGGGCUCCUCCCGGCUCCUCCUGACCACACCGGCCGCUCCAGUUUGCGGUUGAAGUGAGCCCCUGCACCCCCAGCUCCACCAGUCCGUUUGUAUUGGAGUGUCAGCCUCGGACCAGCUCGCCUCAAGUUCACAAAAAUUCCCAAGGAACUUCCCUAACUAGGUAGGGACAGCUCUACGCCCCACCUGAGCAGGAAGAAGCUACAGAAGAAUGAGAUCAACCUCCCUCGUCAGCCCCAGUUCACAGAAGGAAAAUAAAAGGUUAGAAUGCUAGGCAUAUUCUGAAUCAUUCCCCUGCACUCAGUUCUUUUCCAUUAUACCCCACUUGGAUCUCCUGCUCUCUGCGGUUUUCCUGUUAUUCUUAUUUCAGGUGUCACAGAGAAAGCUGACCGGCUGAGAAAAUCGGCUUUAGACCUGACUUCCUGCACCUGCAUCUGGUUCCUGGGGACCUUCACAAGACACAGAUAUCCCACCCUCCCUACUCUUGCUUGCUGACACGGAUAUACUGGUCUCAGCCCACUGUGAGAGAAUGUAAUAAAAUUUCUUAAACUCUAA